Cyanistes caeruleus (blue tit) is the source of this 515-nucleotide non-coding RNA. Lineage: Eukaryota; Metazoa; Chordata; Aves; Passeriformes; Paridae. The record is from RefSeq and is a predicted model, not a curated record.
CUCACCUGUGAUGAGCAGAGGAGAAAAAGAUGGUCUUAAAAGCCUUGCUAAAGUUGAGAUAAACAAUAUCUACUGCUCUCCACUAACCCAGCAAGUCAUUCAUGUUGUUUUAGAAGGCUAUCAGAGCAGAAAUCAUUCUGCAAGAAUUGACACUAAUGAGAAACUUACAGCCUUCUCCUCAACCCUGUAAGCCUUCCUCUGCUGAGCAUGCAUGAAUGGAUAAAAACUGGACUCAGCAUUUCUCUUUGCACCGGUAGUUUUCAAGCUCUGUGAACCUUCAUCCAUUGUUAAGGGUAUAAAAGGACUAGAGAAAUAAGGUUGUAAGAGAUGACAGUGUAGACGUCUAGGUGAGAUGGUUAUCAGAGGUAACAAGGGAAAUAAAGGUCUGUCAGAAUUGCAGCAACUUGAGGUCACAGUUUGUCACUGUCAUAAACAACCUGAGACACCAUGAUGCCCUUGCAGUCCCCAGACAGAGAAUCCACAUCAAAGCCACCUCUCCUCUCAAUGAAAAUAUA